GUGGGGAAUAUUGGGCAAUGGGGGAAACCCUGACCCAGCGACGCCGCGUGAGGGAAGAAGGCCUUAGGGUCGUAAACCUCUGUUGUGUGGGAAGAAGAGCGUGACGGUACCACACGAGGAAGUCCCGGCUAACUACGUGCCAGCAGCCGCGGUAAUACGUAGGGGACGAGCGUUGUCCGGAUUUACUGGGCGUAAAGGGCGCGUAGGCGGUCAUUUAAGUCAGCUGUGAAAUGGUUUGGCUUAACCGGGUCAUGCGGUUGCAACUAGAUGACUGGAGUGCUGGAGAGGCAAGUGGAAUUCCCAGUGUAGCGGUGAAAUGCGUAGAUAUUGGGAAGAACACCGGUGGCGAAGGCGACUUGCUGGGCAGCAACUGACGCUGAGGCGCGAAAGCCAGGGGAGCAAACGGGAUUAGAUACCCGUGUAGUCC
This 427-nucleotide ribosomal RNA is filed under the name uncultured bacterium. RNAcentral's name for it is "partial 16S ribosomal RNA". It matches the Rfam family "Bacterial small subunit ribosomal RNA", at positions 354 to 796 of the family's 1533-position model. The record is from RNAcentral.